RNAcentral lists this long non-coding RNA (1076 nucleotides) under Citrus maxima (pomelo). RNAcentral describes it as "long non-coding RNA (CMAX_LNC003635)". The record is from RNAcentral. Lineage: Eukaryota; Viridiplantae; Streptophyta; Magnoliopsida; Sapindales; Rutaceae.
AACACUUGAAUCAGUUGCAACAAAUGAAAUAUUGCAAAAAAGUUGUGAUUAGCGAGAAAAUUUGUUUUGUGCUCUCAGAGUUUUUUGCAACGAGAUUAAUUUUGUUGCGCAAAGGUUAACAAAAAUAUUAAAUUAAUAAGUGAAAAUAUAAAGAUAAUAUAAAAGCAAACAUGACUUUGUGGGAGGCUUUUUAAUUUUUUUAUUUCCGCGCCCUUUAUUUAAUAAACCGCGUGCUAACCGAAGUAAAGUUUCCAUCUCCAAUUUUUUCUUAAUUAAAAUAUUGCUUCUAGAAUAUUUCCACUUUACUCUUCGCUUGUUUCUUUUGCCCUGCCAUGGAGUCAUUCUCUCUGCCCAAGCUUUAAGCCAUUGAAGAGUUGUACUUGGAAGGCACCACUCAAGACAACGAUUUCUUCAAGUAAAUUUAGUUUUAUUUUAUAUAUUGGCCUGUUGAGUUUGAUUUUGUUUAGUGGGUUUUGCUUUAAUUAUUUAUUAAGUGGGUCUUUGUUUCAAUUUUUAAUUUGUUAAAUUAAAGUUAAUGGAUUUUUCAUGGUGAAGAACCUGAGUUUGUGGACAAUAGUCAAAUGAAUGUAGGAUCUAUGCCCAGUAAUAGGAUCUUUCAUGUUAUAAUUUCUUUGACAAAAUUAUAGUUAUCUUGAUUUAUUUUUAUGUUGAUUAUUAAUAAACUCUAAUGUAUAUUUUUAAUAAUUACUAGAUGGGUCCUGGACAUAGAGUUACCAAACGUGUAAGAGCAGAAAUUGUUGUCACAUCUACAAUUCCCCAAUCUCAGCCUGUUAUGCUCAGCCAAGAGUUUGUGCAAGGUGUUGUUACAACUCUAGAAUUUGGUAUUUAAAGAGUUUAAUUGGUAGGUUUUGUUUGAUCGACUAUUAGUAAGUACUUAUGAUUAUUAAUAUUCUUCAUCUGUCAUUUUUUUUAAUUAUAAACUGAGUAUCUUUUUUUUCCUAAAUUCAGUCAAAGUUUGAGAUUGAUUUGAACUUACCACAUGUUCGUCGAUGUGUGAAUAACAUUAUGGGUGGGAGAUAUUGUGAUAUGAGACAUUGGAUGUAUGAUCAUUACUU